UCAACUUUAAAUGAGUUGUAAGAUGAAGCUGAUGGUUUAAAAAACACCUCCCUGUUUAGUUUACCAGAUGCUCCACUGAGGAACCUUGUCUUGGUGGAGGUUGGCCGGAAGACGGCGGCGGAGGCUUGCGACGUGACGGUGGCCAUUUGGGGGGUAUCAAGAUGUGGAAAUGGGAGUUUAGGUGAGCUAAAAGAAAUUGUAUCUUUUGUGUAUGAUUUUUCUA
RNAcentral lists this long non-coding RNA (223 nucleotides) under Nicotiana benthamiana. RNAcentral describes it as "long non-coding RNA (NBEN_LNC040615)". Lineage: Eukaryota; Viridiplantae; Streptophyta; Magnoliopsida; Solanales; Solanaceae. The record is from RNAcentral.